This 428-nucleotide long non-coding RNA is filed under the name Setaria italica (foxtail millet). RNAcentral's name for it is "long non-coding RNA (SITA_LNC002578)". The record is from RNAcentral. Lineage: Eukaryota; Viridiplantae; Streptophyta; Magnoliopsida; Poales; Poaceae.
AUAUAUGAAGCCUGUGCUGCCUCUGCGAACUGAGAGAGAGCAGUUCUUCUCGAUGGAACAAGAGACAAAUGGUUCGCAGAGGCUGUUCCACUGAUUUGAUAGCUCGGAUAGUAAGCUUGGGAUGUAUUGGGAUCUCUCAUAUUACAAGAUGCCAUCGUAUGUCCCUGAGGACUCCAGCUUGGAUGUGCUGAUCUCAGUUUUGUGGAUGCAAUGGUUUACCAUGGAGCUCUUGGUAUGCUUCAUGCAGCAGUUUUCGCUGGCGAUUACGAUCAUGACCAGUUCUUCCGGCCGUUCCACACUGACGCGUGCAUGAUAACAAGUUCUCAGAAUCUGCUUGUAGUCUUGUACUACUGACGUAGGACUAGAGUCAAUUAGGCCCCACUCCUGCAUGUGUAAAACAGUCACCAACAUCUACCAAUUCACCGGUG